UACACUCCCUCUAACAGCCUGUGUUGA
Molecule: non-coding RNA, 27 nt
Filed under: Mus musculus (house mouse)
Lineage: Eukaryota; Metazoa; Chordata; Mammalia; Rodentia; Muridae
Source: RNAcentral